GACGAACGCUGGCGGCGUGCUUAACACAUGCAAGUCGAACGGAAAGGCCCUGCUUUUGUGGGGUGCUCGAGUGGCGAACGGGUGAGUAACACGUGAGUAACCUGCCCUUGACUUUGGGAUAACUUCAGGAAACUGGGGCUAAUACCGGAUAGGAGCUCCUGCUGCAUGGUGGGGGUUGGAAAGUUUCGGCGGUUGGGGAUGGACUCGCGGCUUAUCAGCUUGUUGGUGGGGUAGUGGCUUACCAAGGCUUUGACGGGUAGCCGGCCUGAGAGGGUGACCGGCCACAUUGGGACUGAGAUACGGCCCAGACUCCUACGGGAGGCAGCAGUGGGGAAUAUUGCACAAUGGGCGGAAGCCUGAUGCAGCAACGCCGCGUGCGGGAUGACGGCCUUCGGGUUGUAAACCGCUUUCGCCUGUGACGAAGCGUGAGUGACGGUAAUGGGUAAAGAAGCACCGGCUAACUACGUGCCAGCAGCCGCGGUGAUACGUAGGGUGCGAGCGUUGUCCGGAUUUAUUGGGCGUAAAGGGCUCGUAGGUGGUUGAUCGCGUCGGAAGUGUAAUCUUGGGGCUUAACCCUGAGCGUGCUUUCGAUACGGGUUGACUUGAGGAAGGUAGGGGAGAAUGGAAUUCCUGGUGGAGCGGUGGAAUGCGCAGAUAUCAGGAGGAACACCAGUGGCGAAGGCGGUUCUCUGGGCCUUUCCUGACGCUGAGGAGCGAAAGCGUGGGGAGCGAACAGGCUUAGAUACCCUGGUAGUCCGCGCUGUAAACGGUGGGUACUAGGUGUGGGGUCCAUUCCACGGGUUCCGUGCCGUAGCUAACGCUUUAAGUACCCCGCCUGGGGAGUACGGCCGCAAGGCUAAAACUCAAAGGAAUUGACGGGGCCCCGCACAAGCGGCGGAGCAUGCGGAUUAAUUCGAUGCAACGCGUAGAACCUUACCUGGGUUUGACAUGGAUCGGGAGUGCUCAGAGAUGGGUGUGCCUCUUUUGGGGUCGGUUCACAGGUGGUGCAUGGCUGUCGUCAGCUCGUGUCGUAAGAUGUUGGGUUAAGUCCCGCAACGAGCGCAACCCUUGUUCACUGUUGCCAGCACGUUAUGGUGGGGACUCAGUGGAGACCGCCGGGGUCAACUCGGAGGAAGGUGGGGAUGACGUCAAGUCAUCAUGCCCCUUAUGUCCAGGGCUUCACGCAUGCUACAAUGGCUGGUACAGAGAGUGGCGAGCCUGUGAGGGUGAGCGAAUCUCGGAAAGCCGGUCUCAGUUCGGAUUGGGGUCUGCAACUCGAUCUCAUGGAGUCGGAGUCGCUAGUAAUCGCAGAUCAGCAACGCUGCGGUGAAUACGUUCCCGGG
RNAcentral lists this ribosomal RNA (1343 nucleotides) under uncultured bacterium. Its description in RNAcentral is "16S ribosomal RNA". It matches the Rfam family "Bacterial small subunit ribosomal RNA", at positions 28 to 1378 of the family's 1533-position model. The record is from RNAcentral.